AUGGAGGUGGUGGAUCUAGAGGACGACGAGCGGGAGGAGCCAGAGGACGAGCUGGCAUCGGCUAUAGGUUUCGGCAUGGAGGACGCGGAGCCGGACUUUGCGGUCGCCCAAGUGGCAGAGAUGACGGAGCACCAGGCCACCCUGGAGUCCAUCCGGGAUGUGGCCUAUGUCGAUUCCAACCGGCGGUUCAUCCAGCAAGAACGGGUGGCGACCGGCGCGCUUUUCGUCGAACUUGACGCGGAGUCAAAGGUGGAGGACAAGGCGGAGCAACAGGAGGAGCCGCAGGAGCUGGAGUUCCGGCUGCCGCCCAUGUACUCAGAGCCGGGCACGGAGAUAAUGCACAUCUCCGACGAGAAUUAG
This 360-nucleotide ribosomal RNA is filed under the name Triticum aestivum (bread wheat). Its description in RNAcentral is "partial small subunit ribosomal RNA". Lineage: Eukaryota; Viridiplantae; Streptophyta; Magnoliopsida; Poales; Poaceae. The record is from RNAcentral.